AUAUUAGUCAAUGCUCGCAAGAGUGAACGAGCUAACUGAAAGAAUAUACAAUCUAAAGUUAGGAACCUUAUAAUUUUUAUUAUAAGUUUAAAGACGAGUCUAACUAACAGUGUCGUCCAAAUUCUGGUGCCAGAAGACUCGGUAAUACCAGAGACGCGAACGUUAAUCAUCUUGAAUGGGCAUAAAGGGUUUGUAGGCGGCUUAUUUAUUAAUAGGCUAGAAUCUUAGAGAGGUUAAUAAAAUACUUAGAGGAGGGCUGAUAUCCAUAGAUCCUAAGUGGAAUCCUAAUUGCGAAGGCCAUUUUCCACUACAGAUUGACGCUGAGAAACGAAGGUUAGGAUAGGAACUAGGAUUAGAGACCCUAUUACCCCUAACUGUAAACGAUGAAUGGAAGAUAUUUACAAUUGUAAGUGUCGAAGUGAAUACGAUAACCAUUCCGCCUUGCCAGUAUACUUGCAAAAGUGAAAACAAAAAAAUUAGUCGGUCCUAAAGCAAACGAAGUGAAGCAUGUUAUUUA
This 517-nucleotide ribosomal RNA is filed under the name Cantharellus albidosquamosus. RNAcentral's name for it is "Cantharellus sp. CH-2020a partial small subunit ribosomal RNA". It matches the Rfam family "Bacterial small subunit ribosomal RNA", at positions 361 to 948 of the family's 1533-position model. The record is from RNAcentral. Lineage: Eukaryota; Fungi; Basidiomycota; Agaricomycetes; Cantharellales; Hydnaceae.